This is a long non-coding RNA of Musa acuminata AAA Group (dessert banana), 3169 nucleotides long. RefSeq lists it as uncharacterized. The record is from RefSeq and is a predicted model, not a curated record. The transcript has 5 exons. NCBI's taxonomy places the organism in Eukaryota, Viridiplantae, Streptophyta, Magnoliopsida, Zingiberales, Musaceae.
UCGACCCAAGUCGUAGGUUUCUUCGUUCGCAACGGAUUAGGAAGACCGGGUCGCGUCCGUCCGUCGGGAAACGUGGAACGAUCGGGUGCUGCCCGGGACUCGUGUCGGGACGCAGCUGGCGCUUGAGUUGAUCGGGUUGGCAUGCGUGCGGUCGGCCUGCGUCGAUGCGCCCGACGUACGAGGACGGCCGCCAGUUGGGGCUUCUUGUUCAAGGACGCCGCUUCGCGGGCCCUUCAAACGACUUCCAUAACAGCGACCGUCUCAUUAAAUCCUUUCUUUUAUACUUUUUUUGGCCUGAAACAUAAAGUGAUGUUUCAUAUUUGCCCCUGCUAUUUUUACCUUAGUUUGUCCUUUCCUUCUCUAUCUCCAUUAUUAUUGCCUGGUCUCAUCAUUGGAUCAUCAUUAUUGUCCUUAGAAUGUUAUUAAUUGUUUUUCCUUGUACUCAUCUCUCUGUUGGAUGACAGAAAAAUUGGUGUAUUCGAUUCCUAAAUUAAACUAGAAUAAUUUAUUUUAAAAAAUCACUAGUAAUCACUUUUUACCUAAUAACACUCAUAAUAUUUUUUUAGGAAUGAACUGAUAGACCCCUAUUCAUUCUAUCUAAUGAUAUGGUUAAUAGAUUAAUUGGUCCCAUUCGGAUCAAUUUUUCUAAACCUCUAACACAGUUCCCCUCCUCCUCCAUCUUAGUAUUCUUCUCCUCCUCUUUCUCUUCUAUUUUUCUUUUCUCCUCCUCUUUAUCAAUUGGUGCAUGAUAUGAUAAUCUUACAUCGUCAUUAUUUUUAUCUAAUUGGAAGAUUACAUAUCGAGUUUAAUCAAUAUUUGUUGGAUAAACCAAUGUUUGAAUUUUUUUUUUAUUAUAAGACCAACAUGGUAUUAAAAAAUAGUUUAUAGUCUUCAUUUUGUGAAAAAUUUUCACCUAUAAUCAAUAAAUCAAAAUUAAUUUAUACCUCCUACACAUAUUUUUACAAGAAUAGAUUAGAAUAAGAUUUGAUUAAAAUGAGAUACAGGGUAUUUAUAUUUUAUGCCCUAAGUAAAAUGAUCACAUUAUCAAUCAAACAUCUUCCUCUUUCGUAUCAAAACAUAUCAAUAUCUAUACAUCCUUGCUACUGGAGUUCUUAUCACCAUCUUGAUUCUGCUUAAAUCUGACAAUUUGAUUGUAAAUGAAGUUUGGCUCCCACUUGUUAAUAAUCUUUAUUUCUCAUUGUUAGCAUACAAAUUGAGCAAUUUGUCCCAAAGGCUUACUACCCAUUGCCCCACAUUAUUAGGCACAUUAGCUUCUUCUGGCCCACUGGCAUUUUAGGCUACAAGUAUCUUGCUGUUUUAAGAAUCAUUUCCUCAUAUUUGUGUGCUUCACAAAUCUAUCCUCAUAAAAUUUCAAAGGAGAGUAUAAGCCCUUACCAAAUCCACUAUAGUAUAUUUUUCAUUGUCGCCUAAAGAAAAUGGAAGCUAUAUUGUUCUCAAGAAACCUUGUAAAUGGCACCUAAAGAAAAUCUUGCCCAUUUUCUACCAAAAAAAAUUUUGUUUUUUCCUAUAUAAUGUUUAGGUAUCAUAAUAAUUGAUGAAUCAAACAUGUCAUGAAAUUGCGCAUUCAUCCGAAGGAUACAAAUGGGGAUGGAGUGCCACCAUCCACCCUCAGCUUUCACUUGUGGUUUCCCCACUUGGCUCCCCUCCCAAUCGCCACAAAACAUUCCUUUCCAUCAACCUUUUUCUAAUCUCUGUUCUUUGCCGACCUAUCUUUCCUUUGGUUCCUCCCCAAGCCACGCCCUUCGCUCUCCUCCCCAUCUCUCUGAAAGGAGGCUGUGCAAAGGUUGCUGCUUUUGAAAGCUGAAUCAGGUUGGUGAUCUUUCCUUAUUUUCUUGUCUUGUUUACUCGGUCGAUGAACUCUUGGAGUGUGGCAGUAGAAGCUGGGAAGGAGGGCUUGAUGGGAAGGGAGGGUGGGCAGACCGAUGAGUUCCCCGUUGGCAUGCGUGUUCUCGCCGUCGACGAUGAUCUGACUUGCCUGAAGGUGUUGGAGGCUCUGCUGCUUCGGUGCCGAUACCAUGUGAGAGAGAGUUCUAUGGGUGUGGUAGUAAUGCGAAUGAAGUUGUGAAUUGUGCCGGUGGCUACGACGAAUCAUGCUACUGUGACUAUCAAGUUGCCGAGGGAGAGCAGCGACAAACUUGAUUGGUUAUCAGUGAUGUGCAUAUGCUAGACAUCGAUGGUUUCAAGAUUCUGGAAAUUGUGAGCCCGGAGUUGGUCCCAUUAGAUUAUGUGGUUUUUAUCGGUGUUGUCAGUGAACAGUGAGAUCAAAAUGUGAUGAAAGGCAUAACCCAUGGCGCAUUUGACUACCUGCUAAAGCCUGUUCGGAUCGAGGAGCUCAGGAAUAUAUGGCAGCAUGUUUUUAGGAGAAAGAAGCUCCAUCACAGGGAUUAUAGCAAGUUUGAUAAUUGGGAGGAAUCUCCAUCAGAAUGAACUGUUCGGUAUGAAGAGGAAGGAUCAAAAAGAGGAAGAAGAUAAUGAUUCUGAGGAGAACAUGCAUCAGGAUGAAGAUCCAACCACUCGAGGGCUGUUUCGUCUAUCGACCGACACCAGAAGUUUGUAGCUGCUGAUAAUCAAUUAGGGAUUGACAAGGCUGUCCCUCAGAGGAUACUAGAGCUCAUCAAUGUCGAGAAGCUUACAAGAGAAAAUGUUGCGAGUCAUUUACAGGCAUGCUGUUAAAUUAUUUACAGUCAUAAUGUGUUUAGUUGCUUGCUACGAAGUUGAAGUACCUCAUGUUGUGUUUGCAGAAGUAUCGGCUUUACAUGAAAAGACUUCAGUGCUGUGGCAAGCCAACAGGCUAACACGGUUGCUGCUUUUGGAGGUAGGGAGCCUUCCCAUCUGCAUAUGGGUUCAUUGGAUGGAUUUGGGAGCUUUUAUGCAUUCAGCGACCUGCCAUUACAUCACUCCAGCCAAGUGAAGUGCUUGGGGAUUCCUACAUCAUCAGAGCUUGAGCAACUUCAACCAAAAAGAAUUCAGGAAUGGAACAGUCAUUCGCCCGGUGGUUCUUCUAGCAGUGGACAUUUUUCUUGCAGACCCAGCAGCUCUUUUGUCAAUUCGACUAGCAAUGCUCUUAUAUCAUAAACACAGCAGCAGCAGACACAUUCAUCGAUUGCUUUUCAAGUAGAUCAACAUUCAUAAGCUCAGAUCCUUUUCG